RNAcentral lists this ribosomal RNA (2060 nucleotides) under human gut metagenome. Its description in RNAcentral is "bacterial LSU rRNA". It matches the Rfam family "Bacterial large subunit ribosomal RNA", at positions 454 to 2519 of the family's 2925-position model. The record is from RNAcentral.
UAAGUCGUCGGCAGCGUCAGAUGUGUAUAAGAGACAGAACCAGUACUGUGAAGGAAAGGCGAAAAGAACCCCGGGAGGGGAGUGAAAUAGAACCUGAAACCGCAUACAUACAAACAGUAGGAGCCCCUGCAGUGGGGUGACUGCGUACCUUUUGCAUAAUGGGUCAGCGACUUACGUUUUGUGGCGAGCUUAACCGAGUAGGGGAGGCGUAGCGAAAGCGAGUUCGAAUAGAGCGAAGAGUCUCAAGGCGUAGACCCGAAACCAGAUGAGCUAUCCAUGGCCAGGUUGAAGGUGUGGUAACACACACUGGAGGACCGAACCGACUAGUGUUGCAAAAUUAGCGGAUGAGCUGUGGAUAGGGGUGAAAGGCUUAACAAAUCUGGAGAUAGCUGGUUCUCCCCGAAAACUAUUGAGGUAGUGCCUCGUGUAUUGCUCCAGGGGGUAGAGCACUGUUAUGGCUAGGGGGACAUGGCGUCUUACCAAACCAUGGCAAACUCCGAAUACUUGGAAGUAAGAGCACGGGAGACAGAGCACCGGGUGCUAACGUCCGGACUCAAGAGGGAAACAACCCAGACCGCCGUUUAAGGUCCCAAAUAUUGACUAAGUGGAAAACGAAGUGUGAAGGCUAAGACAGUCAGGAAGUUGGCUUAGAAGCAGCCAUCCUUCAAAGAAAGCGUAAUAGCUCACUGAUCGAGUCCUCAUGCGCGGAAGAUGUAACGGGGCUAAGUCAAUAACCGAAAGCGCGGAUUUGCAUGAAAAUGCAAGUGGUAGGGGAGCGUUCUGUAAGCCUGCGAAGGUGGUUCGAGAGGACUGCUGGAGGUAUCAGAAGUGCGAAUGCUGACAUGAGUAACGUUAAAGCGGGUGAAAAGCCCGCUCGCCGUAAGCCCAAGGUUUCCUGCUCUACGUUCAUCGGAGCAGGGUGAGUCGGCCCCUAAGGCCAGGCUGAGAAGCGUAGUCGAUGGGAAGCAGAUUAAUAUUUCUGCACCAUGUGCAAGUGCGAUGGGGGGACGGAGUGCGAAAGAUCAUCCGGGUGUUGGAUGUCCCGGUUUGCGAGUGUAGAAGGCCGACAGGCAAAUCCGUCGGCGGAUCUUCGAGACAAAGCAUCGAGGUUCUACGGAACCGAAGUGAUCGGAAGUGCUUCCAGGAAAAGCCUCUAAGCUUCAGCUUGUACAUGACCGUACCGUAAACCGACACUGGUGGGCGAGUUGAAUAUACUCAGGCGCUUGAGAGAACUCGGGAGAAGGAACUCGGCAAAUUGACACCGUAACUUCGGGAUAAGGUGUGCCUUUGUAGCGUGAAGAGAGAAACACUCGGAGCGUGAAGAGGCCUCAGAGAAUCGGUGGCUGCAACUGUUUAUUAAAAACACAGCACUCUGCAAAGACGAAAGUCGACGUAUAGGGUGUGAUGCCUGCCCGGUGCUGGAAGAUUAAGUGAUGGGGUGAGAGCUCCUGAUCGAAGUCCCAGUAAACGGCGGCCGUAACUAUAACGGUCCUAAGGUAGCGAAAUUCCUUGUCGGGUAAGUUCCGACCUGCACGAAUGGCAUAAUGAUGGCCACACUGUCUCCUCCCGAGACUCAGUGAAGUUGAAAUGUUUGUGAUGAUGCAAUCUCCCCGCGGCUAGACGGAAAGACCCCAUGAACCUUUACUGUAGCUUUGCAUUGGACUUUGAACCGAUUUGUGUAGGAUAGGCGGGAGGCAGAGAAAGCGCAACGCCAGUUGUGCCGGAGCCGACGUUGAAAUACCGCCCUGAUUUGUUUGAGGUUCUAACCGCGACCCGUGAGCCGGGUCCGGGACCGUGCAUGGCAGGCAGUUUGACUGGGGCGGUCUCCUCCUAAAGGGUAACGGAGGAGUACAAAGGUACGCUAGGUACGGUCGGAAAUCGUGCUGAUAGUGCAAAGGCAAAAGCGUGCUUGACUGCGAGACCGACAAGUCGAGCAGAUGCGAAAGCAGGUCUUAGUGAUCCGGUGGCUCUGUAUGGAAGGGCCAUCGCUCAACGGAUAAAAGGUACUCUGGGGAUAACAGGCUGAUACCGCCCAAGAGUUCAUAUCGACGGCGGUGUUU